Molecule: long non-coding RNA, 1941 nt
Organism: Scophthalmus maximus (turbot)
Lineage: Eukaryota; Metazoa; Chordata; Actinopteri; Pleuronectiformes; Scophthalmidae
Exons: 4
Source: RefSeq, a predicted model, not a curated record
AGGUUAAAUAUUUGCAAAGUAUCACUUAUUAGAGGCAGAGGCUGGUCAAACUGUAAAGCCAAGGGCUUCUGGUGAAACAGAACCCAGGGCAGAGCGAUGAAGGAAAUUAAAAAUAAAAAGCAAUAGAAACUGAAUGAGAGGAGAGCAGUCUAAUGAGUCAACAGCAAUCCGUUCAUUCGGUUUUAAAAUACAGGCAGUAGCUAAUCGUUCAUACACCAAUUCAUUAACCAUCAGCAUCAAUUUUGUUUCCACAUCACAGAAGCCUCGGCAGCCUCUGGGCAUCUCCUAUGUAUUCUGACCUCACCUGGCUGUCACCACGAGCCGUAUGAUGAUGACUUGGCAGUUUGCAGCGAUCCAGGCCCCUGUCUGGCUGAACAACAUCACACAGGCCCCAGCGGAGUCACAGUCACAGUCACAGUCACAGUCACAACAGCGAUGAACGAGUAACAGAGAGGGGAUGACCCACAUCGAUGGAAGGCAUCACAUGAACCAGUCUCAUCAGAGCACAGCAGCCAUCCUUUAAAGCAGCCCGGCGACACUACGCUGCCUUAGCUUAUGGCAUCGUUUUCUUGAUCCAAUCGGCUAAACUGUGCAGAGUGGAUGACAACACCGUCAGGGGCCGUGGUGCAGAUAUGAUCCAGCAGUGGGCAGUAUAAUGCAACAAGUACCAGCAAGAUCCCCUGUGGCACCAUACAGGAUAUUUUACUUUAAACGUGACCACAUCAUAUCAACAGGAUCGACUUCCAUUCACAAUGGGGUAUAAAUAUGAAACAGCUGCCUCCGUCAUCCUCCGGGAUUGCUCGACUGUUGAGCGAUUGGGCAGCGUUGAGGAUCAUCCCAAAGAUGCUGAAUGGGUGACAGAUCACGGCUCUGCGCAGCCGAGUCAAGCGCACCAAAAUGGAAAAGAAGAAAAAAAAGGGGAAAAAAAACUUCUUUCUGGACCUUUGCCUUGUGCCCAGGAACAUGAUCACAGAAAAGAGCCUUUCCCAAACAUUAGCCACAACGUUGGCCGCAAAAUAAUGUUGAAAAGACACAUGAAUGGGAUUCAUAAGAGGAGUAAACUGGAAUAACAAAUCAGAUGGUUAUCAAUGAAAUAUAAUAUGACAUAUCAUUUUAUUAUUGUAAUUGGAGCUAUGGCCAAGCAUAAACCAUGAAAAAUCUACAAAAAAUAUACAUGGUAUCGGUGUCUGCAGCCUUUUGGCCACACUUUGGGACCCUCCUAUGUACACGCUGACGCACAGCUGACUCUUUUUUUGGCCAAACAAAUGGGUUCAAAAAGAACCAACGUCUUGACUCUCACUCUCUCUCUCUCCACCCCGAUCCAUUGUCUCCUUCUCCCUGCCAUCGUCUCUCUCCUCUUCAGACAUUUGUCACCCUUGUCUCUUGUUUUUCAACCUUCACCAUUCCUGACUCUCCCUGUCUCUCUCUCUCUUGCGCUCCACUGUGGCUUUCUAAUUGAAUCCACAGGACUGAAUUCCAGUGGGCAGGGGAAGAGGAGAGGGAGGGGUGGAGUCAGAGGUCAAAGGUUAUGUUACGACCUUUGCCCCGUGAGUAGAACCCUACUGUGCUGCGUUUCUGGAUGCGUGAGCAUGUGUGUGUGUGUGUGUGUGUGUGUGUGUUUUUGUAAAACAGGAGAGAGUUACUUGUUGAGUUACUUGUUAUGUAUUUAUGCAUAAAUGAACAUUCCAAAGCAGUCACUCUGGUUAUCAUGUUUAUUCAUGAAGCAGCAGUCAUGUAUUUAUGUUAAAAGUUAAGUACAAUACACAGAUUUAUGUCACUUAACUGUUUUAUUCGUCUUUUCUCUGUCCUCCUGUCCUCCUUCUUUUGAAUGUCAGUUCAGACGAAUUUAAAUUGAUUUCUUCCAAUAAUGUUGGUAUAAUUUCUUGAACAAAGUACAGUGAAAAAGAUGUGAAGUGUGGCCGAAAAGGUGGUAUUAGUUUG